AAAUACAUGCAGACAUUCGGUAGAAGCGAGUAGCGGAAAGCGGCGGACGGGUGAGUAACGCGUAGGCAACCUGCCCUUCACAGAGGUAUAGCCUCGGGAAACCGGGAUUAAAACCACAUAAAAUCAUAGGUUCGCAUGAACCAAAGGUCAAAGAUUUAUCGGUGAAUGAUGGGCCUGCGUCUGAUUAGCUGGUUGGUAGGGUAAAAGCCUACCAAGGCGACGAUCAGUAGCCGACCUGAGAGGGUGAUCGGCCACAUUGGAACUGAGACACGGUCCAAACUCCUACGGGAGGCAGCAGUGGGGGAUAUUGCACAAUGGGGGAAACCCUGAUGCAGCAACGCCGCGUGAGGUAUGAAGGCCUUUGGGUUGUAAGCCUCUGUCCUAGGGGAAGAAAAAAAU
RNAcentral lists this ribosomal RNA (399 nucleotides) under [Eubacterium] saphenum. Its description in RNAcentral is "bacterial SSU rRNA". It matches the Rfam family "Bacterial small subunit ribosomal RNA", at positions 49 to 455 of the family's 1533-position model. The record is from RNAcentral. Lineage: Bacteria; Bacillati; Bacillota; Clostridia; Peptostreptococcales; Anaerovoracaceae.